RNAcentral lists this ribosomal RNA (434 nucleotides) under uncultured Clostridium sp. Its description in RNAcentral is "partial 16S ribosomal RNA". It matches the Rfam family "Bacterial small subunit ribosomal RNA", at positions 341 to 792 of the family's 1533-position model. RNAcentral also lists the same sequence under 1 other name. Lineage: Bacteria; Bacillati; Bacillota; Clostridia; Eubacteriales; Clostridiaceae. The record is from RNAcentral.
ACGGGAGGCAGCAGUGGGGAAUAUUGCACAAUGGGCGCAAGCCUGAUGCAGCGACGCCGCGUGAGUGAAGAAGUAUUUCGGUAUGUAAAGCUCUAUCAGCAAGGAAGAAAAUGACGGUACUUGACUAAGAAGCUCCGGCUAAAUACGUGCCAGCAGCCGCGGUAAUACGUAUGGAGCAAGCGUUAUCCGGAUUUACUGGGUGUAAAGGGAGCGUAGACGGCAAAGCAAGUCUGAAGUGAAAUCCCGGGGCUCAACCCCGGAACUGCUUUGGAAACUGUUUAGCUAGAGUGCAGGAGAGGUAAGCGGAAUUCCUAGUGUAGCGGUGAAAUGCGUAGAUAUUAGGAGGAACACCAGUGGCGAAGGCGGCUUACUGGACUGUAACUGACGUUGAGGCUCGAAAGCGUGGGGAGCAAACAGGAUUAGAUACCCUGGUA